This 463-nucleotide ribosomal RNA is filed under the name uncultured bacterium. Its description in RNAcentral is "partial 16S ribosomal RNA". It matches the Rfam family "Bacterial small subunit ribosomal RNA", at positions 28 to 507 of the family's 1533-position model. The record is from RNAcentral.
GAUGAACGCUGACAGAAUGCUUAACACAUGCAAGUCUUUGGCGAAGCUGUGCUUGCACAGCCUAGCCAAGGCGGACGGGUGAGUAACGCGUAAGGAACUUGCCCUGCAGUCAGGGAUAACAGACGGAAACGACUGAUAAGACCUGGUAAAGUCAGGCGGACUCAUGUCCAGCCUGAUGAAAAGAGAUGCUGCAGGAGAGCCUUGCGUCCUAUUAGCUUGUUGGUGGGGUAACGGCCCACCAAGGCGAUGAUAGGUAGCCGGCCUGAGAGGGUGGACGGCCACAAGGGGACUGAGAUACGGCCCUUACGCCUACGGGAGGCAGCAGGGGAGAAUAUUGGACAAUGGGGGCAACCCUGAUCCAGCAAUUCUGUGUGCACGAUGAAGUUUUUCGGAUUGUAAAGUGCUUUCAGCAGGGAAGAAAAAAAUGACGGUACCUGCAGAAGAAGCGACGGCUAAAUACGUG